UACGGAGGGUGCGAGCGUUGUUCGGAAUUACUGGGCGUAAAGGGCGCGUAGGCGGUUUGCUAAGUCAGAUGUGAAAGUCCACGGCUCAACCGUGGAAGUGCAUUUGAAACUGGCAGACUUGAGUACUGGAGGGGGUGGUGGAAUUCCCGGUGUAGAGGUGAAAUUCGUAGAUAUCGGGAGGAAUACCGGUGGCGAAGGCGACCACCUGGCCAGAUACUGACGCUGAGGUGCGAAAGCGUGGGUAUCAAACAGG
Molecule: ribosomal RNA, 253 nt
Filed under: uncultured bacterium
Lineage: Bacteria
Description: partial 16S ribosomal RNA
Rfam family: Bacterial small subunit ribosomal RNA
Source: RNAcentral